Molecule: ribosomal RNA, 416 nt
Filed under: uncultured bacterium
Lineage: Bacteria
Description: bacterial SSU rRNA
Rfam family: Bacterial small subunit ribosomal RNA
Source: RNAcentral
GACGAACGCUGGCGGCGCGCCUAACACAUGCAAGUCGAACGAGCGAGAGAGAGCUUGCUUUCUCAAGCGAGUGGCGAACGGGUGAGUAACGCGUGAGGAACCUGCCUCAAAGAGGGGGACAACAGUUGGAAACGACUGCUAAUACCGCAUAAGCCCACGGCUCGGCAUCGAGCAGAGGGAAAAGGAGCAAUCCGCUUUGAGAUGGCCUCGCGUCCGAUUAGCUAGUUGGUGAGGUAACGGCCCACCAAGGCGACGAUCGGUAGCCGGACUGAGAGGUUGAACGGCCACAUUGGGACUGAGACACGGCCCAGACUCCUACGGGAGGCAGCAGUGGGGAAUAUUGCACAAUGGGGGAAACCCUGAUGCAGCGACGCCGCGUGGAGGAAGAAGGUCUUCGGAUUGUAAACUCCUGUUGU